AAUUUAAAAUGAAUCUCAUAUUUUUGAUACCACAAAUCAAUAUUUUUAUUAAAUUAUUUAAAU
This 63-nucleotide transfer RNA is filed under the name Oberthueria jiatongae. RNAcentral describes it as "tRNA-His". Lineage: Eukaryota; Metazoa; Arthropoda; Insecta; Lepidoptera; Endromidae. The record is from RNAcentral.